Long non-coding RNA from Rhea pennata, 363 nucleotides. RefSeq lists it as uncharacterized. The transcript has 2 exons. Lineage: Eukaryota; Metazoa; Chordata; Aves; Rheiformes; Rheidae. The record is from RefSeq and is a predicted model, not a curated record.
GGCCGCCGGCAGCGCAGCGCAGCGCGGCCGCGGCGCCCCGAGGCCGCCGGCACUGCGGGGAGCUGCACGCAACAGGGCAGCAGCGAGGCAGCGGCGGCGACUUCCAGCAGAGCACGGCCGAGCCUGGAAAAAUCGGAGCUGCUCAUUGCCCCUGCAUGGCAUCGCCAGACGUCGGCGGCAGAUCUUCCGCGGCCCCGACGGGGCCCCGCGGACUCCUCCGUCGCGACUCUGAAAGGAAGAGCGAGCAGCCGUGCCCGAGCAGGGGCACGCGUCGCCUCUCCUCCCCGCGUCGCCCCCAGCACCGCGGUGCCACUGUAACGUCGCAAACGCCUUCGCCUGCCGAAUAAAACUCGAGUCAGCACA